GUGAUGGACAUCCCCUCAGUUUCUAAUUCAGUACCUCCAUAAAAAGAGCUGCUCUAUCCUGUGUGCAGAUGAGAGAACCAAGAAUGGAUGAACUGCCAGGCUGUUAAGAAAGUCAUUGAACAAUUAAAGCUAUUAAGAAGAACACAGUAAUCAUUCACCAAGCAAUGGAUUCAGCUUUGAUCUUUGCAGAGUAAAUUUAUUAGUAUCAUUAGGAAAUAAUGCAAGUACAUAUUAUAAUUCUGGUUAAUGUUACUCAGUCUUCCUCUGCCUUGGCUUUCCCACUUGAAAAUGGCAAAAACUACCUAUUCAUGCUGUGGGUAUGAACGUAACACAAUAAAAUGUCAUUUUGUAUCAUUUUGAUACAGAAUGUGAUACCAUUCAGUUACUGAAGACUUUGCCAGGGGAGUACAAGGGAAAAGGAUCAGGAUGGCCCCAGCUGAGGACUAGCCUAAUCCAGGGGCCCAAAGCCUCAUUUGGAGAUGAACUCAAGGCAAUGAAUUUUUCAAAUAAUACACAAGGAUAGUCCAUCGUGAAUGAGUAAAUUGAAGAAAACCUGCAAACAGAAGCAAUGGAUGGAGGUUUGCAGAGCUGUCAAUCAAGGAGCAUUCAGGAGAAGAAUGUGACCAGGAGGAGACUGUUUAAAAGAAACACCCAAACUGUUGGAGACUCUUUCUCCUGAAACAUGAAGGAGGAAGGACUGAGAAGAUCCUUUCCUUACUAAUUUUCUCUCUAUUGUAUUUAGAAGUGACUCAAAGAUCCUCAAACCUGUUAGCCACAUCUCUCAUCUAAGACUCUACAAUAUUAUUCUCAAUUUAGGAUUAUUUAAGAUCAGGGAAACCCUAAAUCCUCUCUCUUAUCCAAUUUCCCUUUCCUUCCCCAGCCUUAAAUAAACCCCUUGUUCCAAUUA
Monodelphis domestica (gray short-tailed opossum) is the source of this 907-nucleotide non-coding RNA. Lineage: Eukaryota; Metazoa; Chordata; Mammalia; Didelphimorphia; Didelphidae. The record is from RefSeq and is a predicted model, not a curated record.